CCUACGGGUGGCUGCAGUGGGGAAUAUUGGGCAAUGGGCGCAAGCCUGACCCAGCAACGCCGCGUGAAGGAAGAAGGCUUUCGGGUUGUAAACUUCUUUUCUCAGGGACGAAGCAAGUGACGGUACCUGAAGAAGAAGCCGCGGCUAACUACGUGCCAGCAGCCGCGGUAAGACGUAGGGGGCAAGCGUUAUCCGGAUUUACUGGGUGUAAAGGGGGCGCAGACGGCGAUGCAAGCCAGGAGGGAAAGCCCGGGGCCCAACCCCGGGACUGCUCUUGUAACUGCGUGGCUAGAGUGCAGGAGGGGCAGGCGGACUUCCUGGUGUAGCGGUGAAAUGCGUAGAUAUCAGGAGGAACACCGGUGGCGAAGGCGGCCUGCUGGACUGCAACUGACGUUGAGGCCC
RNAcentral lists this ribosomal RNA (402 nucleotides) under uncultured bacterium. Its description in RNAcentral is "partial 16S ribosomal RNA". It matches the Rfam family "Bacterial small subunit ribosomal RNA", at positions 338 to 754 of the family's 1533-position model. The record is from RNAcentral.